GAUCAUGGCUCAGGACGAACGCUGGCGGCGUGCUUAACACAUGCAAGUCGAACGAAGAGCGGUGGAAGCUUGCUUCUAUCAAUCUUAGUGGCGAACGGGUGAGUAACGCGUAAUCAACCUGCCCCUUCAGAGGGGGGACAACAGUUGGAAACGACUGCUAAUACCGCAUACGAUCCAAUCUCGGCAUCGAGACUGGAUGAAAGGUGGCCUCUAUUUAUAAGCUAUCACUGAAGGAGGGG
This 239-nucleotide ribosomal RNA is filed under the name uncultured bacterium. RNAcentral's name for it is "partial 16S ribosomal RNA". It matches the Rfam family "Bacterial small subunit ribosomal RNA", at positions 15 to 229 of the family's 1533-position model. The record is from RNAcentral.